GGAGCUUGCUCCACCGGAAAAAGAGGAGUGGCGAACGGGUGAGUAACACGUGGGUAACCUGCCCAUCAGAAGGGGAUAACACUUGGAAACAGGUGCUAAUACCGUAUAACAAUCGAAACCGCAUGGUUUUGAUUUGAAAGGCGCUUUCGGGUGUCGCUGAUGGAUGGACCCGCGGUGCAUUAGCUAGUUGGUGAGGUAACGGCUCACCAAGGCCACGAUGCAUAGCCGACCUGAGAGGGUGAUCGGCCACAUUGGGACUGAGACACGGCCCAAACUCCUACGGGAGGCAGCAGUAGGGAAUCUUCGGCAAUGGACGAAAGUCUGACCGAGCAACGCCGCGUGAGUGAAGAAGGUUUUCGGAUCGUAAAACUCUGUUGUUAGAGAAGAACAAGGAUGAGAGUAACUGUUCAUCCCUUGACGGUAUCUAACCAGAAAGCCACGGCUAACUACGUGCCAGCAGCCGCGGUAAUACGUAGGUGGCAAGCGUUGUCCGGAUUUAUUGGGCGUAAAGCGAGCGCAGGCGGUUUCUUAAGUCUGAUGUGAAAGCCCCCGGCUCAACCGGGGAGGGUCAUUGGAAACUGGGAGACUUGAGUGCAGAAGAGGAGAGUGGAAUUCCAUGUGUAGCGGUGAAAUGCGUAGAUAUAUGGAGGAACACCAGUGGCGAAGGCGGCUCUCUGGUCUGUAACUGACGCUGAGGCUCGAAAGCGUGGGGAGCAAACAGGAUUAGAUACCCUGGUAGUCCACGCCGUAAACGAUGAGUGCUAAGUGUUGGAGGGUUUCCGCCCUUCAGUGCUGCAGCUAACGCAUUAAGCACUCCGCCUGGGGAGUACGACCGCAAGGUUGAAACUCAAAGGAAUUGACGGGGGCCCGCACAAGCGGUGGAGCAUGUGGUUUAAUUCGAAGCAACGCGAAGAACCUUACCAGGUCUUGACAUCCUUUGACCACUCUAGAGAUAGAGCUUCCCCUUCGGGGG
This 973-nucleotide ribosomal RNA is filed under the name Enterococcus faecium. RNAcentral describes it as "bacterial SSU rRNA". It matches the Rfam family "Bacterial small subunit ribosomal RNA", at positions 75 to 1026 of the family's 1533-position model. Lineage: Bacteria; Bacillati; Bacillota; Bacilli; Lactobacillales; Enterococcaceae. The record is from RNAcentral.